GGAAUUGUUCGCAAUGGGCGCAAGCCUGACGACGCAACGCCGCGUGGAGGAUGAAGGUCUUCGGAUUGUAAACUCCUGUUGACAGGGACGAAUGGGUCUCGACCUAAUACGUCGGGGCAAUGACGGUACCGGUUGAGGAAGCCACGGCUAACUCUGUGCCCGCAGCCGCGGUAAUACAGAGGUGGCAGUGGUUGUUCGGAAUUACUGGGCGUAAAGGGCGCGUAGGCGGCCGUUUAAGUCAGACGUGAAAUCCCCAGGCUUAACUUGGGAACUGCGUCUGAUACUGGAAGGCUCGAGUGCGGGAGAGGGAUGUGGAAUUCCAGGUGUAGCGGUGAAAUGCGUAGAUAUCUGGAGGAACACCGGUGGCGAAGGCGGCAUCCUGGACCGACACUGACGCUGAGGCGCGAAAGCUGGGGGAGCAAAC
This 424-nucleotide ribosomal RNA is filed under the name uncultured bacterium. RNAcentral describes it as "bacterial SSU rRNA". It matches the Rfam family "Bacterial small subunit ribosomal RNA", at positions 358 to 773 of the family's 1533-position model. The record is from RNAcentral.